Molecule: long non-coding RNA, 1105 nt
Organism: Symsagittifera roscoffensis
Lineage: Eukaryota; Metazoa; Xenacoelomorpha; Acoela; Convolutidae
Exons: 3
Source: RefSeq, a predicted model, not a curated record
CAAAGAUGCUUGCUGAGCCUAACAGCAAGUCAGAUUACAAAUCGAAUUCUUUAGUCUUGAUUUUGAAGUUUAACAAUUCCAAUCGUUUUUUAUAUUUCUUGGUUUUAACUUUACUGUGUAUUGCUUACUUUUUAUCGAGUGACAGUUUGCAAUACUUUUCAAUUGUUGGAACUGAAAGCUGUGUUGAACGUUCAUUUGCUAGAUUUGCAACUGAAUCUGAAAACAACUUAAAACUAAAGCUAUCGAAAUUUUCAAAAUGUCUUGAAGCCAAUUGGAACCCUAGGCAUACAACCCAUUCACAUGCGCCUAUACGUUACAUGCCCAAAGGAGAAAAUAUUAUCUUUUCAAAUCUUUCAAAUGCUUCAUUUUGCAAUUCAAAACAUACUAAUUUACGAGUUCUCGUUAUACAUAGUCGGUGCAACAGCUCGGAAUUAAGAAAUGUGAUUCGGAGUACUUAUGCGGAUUUUUCGAAGUACCCGAAAGAUAGUCUAAUUGGGAACUGGACGAAGCUUUUCCUGGUCGGAAAACCGAAUUCUGAAGCCGACCAGCUAAAAAUUACAGAAGAAAAUUAUGAAUUUGGUGAUAUUGUAGUUGCGAAUGUAGAGGAAGGGUAUUAUCAUCAAACAUCAUUGCAGUAUUUGAUUGGACUGAAGUUUGUUUCCUGUUUUUGUUCACAUGCUGAUUAUCAUGUGAAAGUUGACGAUGAUACUUACUUGAGGUUAGUUAAGCUGGACUUUGUACUAAAUCAUUACCAGAACAAGUAUAACGACCUAGUUAUCAGUCCUAACACGACCAAUUUGAAACGAGAAUUGAAAAACGACGAAAACAAUGCAAGAAUAUACACCGGGUCGGAAUGUAGCGAUGAUCACCCCAUUCUCCGAAAGAAUCGGUCUAAACAUUACGUUCCUUACCACCACCUUGCAGGAAGUCAUUAUCCGUUCUUCUGCUAUGGACCAUUGAACGUAUUUUCUAUGAGUGUUGUCCAUGAUUUGGCCAUAGACUGUCCACACCAUUGUGGAACAUUGUCAGAAGAAGAUUUUGAAGAAAACAAAAACAAAUAUUGUUGGAUGAAAUUCGACGAUGUUUUCAUAGGGAAGGAUCUUUU